UUAAUAUUUUUAUUUUU
This 17-nucleotide unclassified non-coding RNA is filed under the name Panicum mosaic virus strain Kansas 109S. RNAcentral describes it as "5'-R(P*UP*UP*AP*AP*UP*AP*UP*UP*UP*UP*UP*AP*UP*UP*UP*UP*U)-3' from Panicum mosaic virus strain Kansas 109S (PDB 4V99, chain E2)". Lineage: Riboviria; Orthornavirae; Kitrinoviricota; Tolucaviricetes; Tolivirales; Tombusviridae. The record is from RNAcentral.